This is a ribosomal RNA of 477 nucleotides. It matches the Rfam family "Bacterial small subunit ribosomal RNA", at positions 945 to 1415 of the family's 1533-position model.
AUUAAUUCGAUGCAACGCGAAGAACCCUUACCAAGGCUUGACAUGUGCCCAGACCGCUCCAGAGAUGGGGUUUCCCUUCGGGGCUGGUUCCCAGGUGGUGCCAUGGUUGUCGUCAGCUCGUGUCGUGAGAUGUUGGGUUAAGUCCCGCAACGAGCGCAACCCCUCGUUCCCAUGUUGCCAGCACGUAGUGGUGGGGACUCAUGGGAGACUGCCGGGGUCAACUCGGAGGAAGGUGGGGAUGACGUCAAAUCAUCAUGCCCCUUAUGUCUUGGGCUUCACGCAUGCUACAAUGGCCGGUACAAUGGGUUGCGAUACUGUGAGGUGGAGCUAAUCCCUAAAAGCCGGUCUCAGUUCGGAUUGGGGUCUACAACUCGACCCCAUGAAGUCGGAGUCGCUAGUAAUCGCAGAUCAGCAACGCUGCGGUGAAUACGUUCCCGGCCCUUGUACACACCGCCCCGUCAAGUCACGAAAGUUGGU